AUGAACGCUGGCGGCGUGCUUAACACAUGCAAGUCGAACGGAAAGGCUCCUGCUUGCAGGGGUACUCGAGUGGCGAACGGGUGAGUAACACGUGGGUGAUCUGCCCUGCACUUCGGGAUAAGCCUGGGAAACUGGGUCUAAUACCGGAUAGGACGAUGGUUUGGAUGCCAUUGUGGAAAGUUUUUCGGUGUGGGAUGAGCUCGCGGCCUAUCAGCUUGUUGGUGGGGUAAUGGCCUACCAAGGCGUCGACGGGUAGCCGGCCUGAGAGGGUGUACGGCCACAUUGGGACUGAGAUACGGCCCAGACUCCUACGGGAGGCAGCAGUGGGGAAUAUUGCACAAUGGGCGCAAGCCUGAUGCAGCGACGCCGCGUGGGGGAUGACGGCCUUCGGGUUGUAAACUCCUUUCGCUAGGGACGAAGCGCAAGUGACGGUACCUGGAGAAGAGGCACCGGCUAACUACGUG
This 464-nucleotide ribosomal RNA is filed under the name uncultured bacterium. Its description in RNAcentral is "partial 16S ribosomal RNA". It matches the Rfam family "Bacterial small subunit ribosomal RNA", at positions 29 to 507 of the family's 1533-position model. The record is from RNAcentral.